AGUGAACGCUGGCGGCAUGCCUAAUACAUGCAAGUCGAACGGAAGCACAGUAAGAGCUUGCUCUUACGGGUGGCGAGUGACGGACGGGGGAGGACUACAUCGGCAUCUACUAUUUCGGGGGGGAUAACGUGGGGAAACUUACGCUAACACAGCAUACGAUCGACUGGCGUAAGCAGGAGAUCUUCGGCCCUUGCGCGUCUGCUUGAGCCGAAGUCGCAUUAGCUAGUUGGUGGGGUAAAGGCCAACCAAGGCAACGCUCCGUAGCAGGUCUGAGAGGAUGAUCAGCCACACUGGAACUGAGACACGGUCCAGACUCCUACGGGAGGCAGCAGUGGGGAAUAUUCGACAAUGGGCGCAAGCCUGAUCCAGCCAUGCCGCGUGUGUGAUGAAGGCCUUCGGGUUGUAAAGCCCUUUUGUUGGGGAAGAAAAGCAGCAGGUUAAAACCCCGCUGUUUUGACGGUACCCAAAGAGUAAGCACCGGCUAACUACGUG
Molecule: ribosomal RNA, 492 nt
Filed under: uncultured bacterium
Lineage: Bacteria
Description: partial 16S ribosomal RNA
Rfam family: Bacterial small subunit ribosomal RNA
Source: RNAcentral